GAUGAGCCCGCGGCCUAUCAGCUUGUUGGUGAGGUAGAAGCUCACCAAGGCGACGACGGGUAGCCGGCCUGAGAGGGCGACCGGCCACACUGGGACUGAGACACGGCCCAGACUCCUACGGGAGGCAGCAGUGGGGAAUAUUGCACAAUGGGCGAAAGCCUGAUGCAGCGACGCCGCGUGAGGGAUGACGGCCUUCGGGUUGUAAACCUCUUUCAGCAGGGAAGAAGCGCAAGUGGCGGUACCUGCAGAAGAAGCGCCGGCUAACUACGUGCCAGCAGCCGCGGUAAUACGUAGGGCGCAAGCGUUGUCCGGAAUUAUUGGGCGUAAAGAGCUCGUAGGCGGCUUGUCACGUCGGGUGUGAAAGACCGGGGCUUAGCCCCGGUUCUGCAUUCGAUACGGGCUGGCUAGAGUGUGGUAGGGGAGAUCGGAAUUCCUGGUGUAGCGGUGAAAUGCGCAGAUAUCAGGAGG
RNAcentral lists this ribosomal RNA (468 nucleotides) under uncultured Actinomycetes bacterium. RNAcentral's name for it is "bacterial SSU rRNA". It matches the Rfam family "Bacterial small subunit ribosomal RNA", at positions 224 to 704 of the family's 1533-position model. Lineage: Bacteria; Bacillati; Actinomycetota; Actinomycetes. The record is from RNAcentral.